Non-coding RNA from Pelobates cultripes (western spadefoot toad), 328 nucleotides. The record is from the annotation of a GenBank genome assembly. NCBI's taxonomy places the organism in Eukaryota, Metazoa, Chordata, Amphibia, Anura, Pelobatidae.
CUGGAAAGGUGGACAAUCGCCUGAUCAGUGGGAGCUCAGAGGCAGCUAUCCUGCAAUAGCCUCGUUCCCCCGAAUUGGUCCUGUAGGGUUGAACACUGUCCACACCUGAGGGGCACCUGGGGCCCAACAAGACAGUCCACUUAGGUGGAUUGGAUAAAAUCGGCUCCAACUUACCCAACAUGGAGGGGACAGCAUGUCUCCCUAUCAUCAGAGUUGCACAGCUUGAUUUUGAGGCUGGCUCACAUAUUGGACAACUUCUGGAGAGCAGAGUCAGUGAGUGUCACCACAGCAAUGCCCUGCAUGGGCUUCGAGUCUAGGCCUGCCACAG